This 467-nucleotide ribosomal RNA is filed under the name uncultured bacterium. Its description in RNAcentral is "partial 16S ribosomal RNA". It matches the Rfam family "Bacterial small subunit ribosomal RNA", at positions 29 to 507 of the family's 1533-position model. The record is from RNAcentral.
ACGAACGCUGGCGGCGUGCUUCACACAUGCAAGUCGAACGGAAAGGCCCUGCUUUUGUGGGGUGCUCGAGUGGCGAACGGGUGAGUAACACGUGAGUAACCUGCCCUUGACUUUGGGAUAACUUCAGGAAACUGGGGCUAAUACCGGAUAGGAGCUCCUGCUGCAUGGUGGGGGUUGGAAAGUUUCGGCGGUUGGGGAUGGACUCGCGGCUUAUCAGCUUGUUGGUGGGGUAGUGGCUUACCAAGGCUUUGAUGGGUAGCCGGCCUGAGAGGGUGACCGGCCACAUUGGGACUGAGAUACGGCCCAGACUCCUACGGGAGGCAGCAGUGGGGAAUAUUGCACAAUGGGCGGAAGCCUGAUGCAGCAACGCCGCGUGCGGGAUGACGGCCUUCGGGUUGUAAACCGCUUUCGCCUGCGACGAAGCGUGAGUGACGGUAAUGGGUAAAGAAGCACCGGCUAACUACGUG